AGGAGAUGGCUCAGUGAUAGAGUUUAUGCUUCGUAUGUAUGAUGACCUGGUUUCAAUUCCCAGCUUCUG
RNAcentral lists this transfer RNA (69 nucleotides) under Dallia pectoralis (Alaska blackfish). RNAcentral describes it as "tRNA-Thr". The record is from RNAcentral. Lineage: Eukaryota; Metazoa; Chordata; Actinopteri; Esociformes; Umbridae.